UCGAGCGGACCGACGGGAGCUUGCUCCCUUAGGUCAGCGGCGGACGGGUGAGUAACACGUGGGUAACCUGCCUGUAAGACUGGGAUAACUCCGGGAAACCGGGGCUAAUACCGGAUGCUUGAUUGAACCGCAUGGUUCAAUCAUAAAAGGUGGCUUUUAGCUACCACUUACAGAUGGACCCGCGGCGCAUUAACUAGUUGGUGAGGUAACGGCUCACCAAGGCGACGAUGCGUAACCGACCUGAGAGGGUGAUCGGCCACACUGGGACUGAAACACGGCCCAGACUCCUACGGGAGGCAGCAGUAGGGAAUCUUCCGCAAUGGACGAAAGUCUGACGGAACAACGCCGCGUGAGUGAUGAAGGUUUUCGGAUCGUAAAACUCUGUUGUUAGGGAAGAACAAGUACCGUUCGAAUAGGGCGGCACCUUGACGGUACCUAACCAGAAAGCCACGGCUAACUACGUGCCAGCAGCCGCGGUAAUACGUAAGUGGCAAGCGUUGUCCGGAAUUAUUGGGCGUAAAGCGCGCGCAGGCGGUUUCUUAAGUCUGAUGUGAAAGCCCCCGGCUCAACCGGGGAGGGUCAUUGGAAACUGGGGAACUUGAGUGCAGAAGAGGAGAGUGGAAUUCCACGUGUAGCGGUGAAAUGCGUAGAGAUGUGGAGGAACACCAGUGGCGAAGGCGACUCUCUGGUCUGUAACUGACGCUGAGGCGCGAAAGCGUGGGGAGCGAACAGGAUUAGAUACCCUGGUAGUCCACGCCGUAAACGAUGAGUGCUAAGUGUUAGAGGGUUUCCGCCCUUUAGUGCUGCAGCAAACGCAUUAAGCACUCCG
This 829-nucleotide ribosomal RNA is filed under the name Bacillus licheniformis. RNAcentral describes it as "bacterial SSU rRNA". It matches the Rfam family "Bacterial small subunit ribosomal RNA", at positions 62 to 871 of the family's 1533-position model. Lineage: Bacteria; Bacillati; Bacillota; Bacilli; Caryophanales; Bacillaceae. The record is from RNAcentral.